GUUGCCUCACCUUGGUAAGACUACCCGCUGAACUUUAAGCAUAUCAAUAGGCCGGGAGGGAA
Molecule: ribosomal RNA, 62 nt
Filed under: Raperostelium tenue
Lineage: Eukaryota; Evosea; Eumycetozoa; Dictyosteliales; Raperosteliaceae
Description: partial 28S ribosomal RNA
Source: RNAcentral